RNAcentral lists this ribosomal RNA (449 nucleotides) under uncultured bacterium. RNAcentral describes it as "bacterial SSU rRNA". It matches the Rfam family "Bacterial small subunit ribosomal RNA", at positions 61 to 526 of the family's 1533-position model. The record is from RNAcentral.
UUCGAACGAGAAAGUGGAGCAAUCCAUGAGUACAGUGGCGACCGGGUGAGUAACACGUGACCAACCUGCCCUCGAGUGGGGAACAACCUAGGGAAACCUGGGCUGAUACCGCAUAACAUCUUCGAGUCGGAAGACUUGGGGAUCAAAGGAGCAAUUCGCUUGAGGAGGGGGUCGCGGCUGAUUAGCUAGUUGGCGGGGUAAUGGCCCACCAAGGCGAAGAUCGGUAGCCGGCCUGAGAGGGCGCACGGCCACACUGGAACUGAAACACGGUCCAUACUCCUACGGGAGGCAGCAGUGGGGAAUUUUGCGCAAUGGGGGAAACCCUGACGCAGCAACGCCCCGUGGAGGAUGAAGUCCCUUUGGGACGUAACUCCUUUCGACCAAGAACAUAAUGACGGUACUGGUGGAACAAGCACCGGCUAACUCUGUUCCCAGCGCCGCGGGUAUAA